CCACGAGAGGCAGCAGUGGGGAAUAUUGGACAAUGGGCGAAAGCCUGAUCCAGCCAUGCCGCGUGUGUGAAGAAGGCCUUCGGGUUGUAAAGCACUUUCAGUGGGGAAGAAAGCCUUGGGGCUAAUACCCUCGAGGAAGGACAUCACCCACAGAAGAAGCACCGGCUAACUCCGUGCCAGCAGCCGCGGUAAUACGGAGGGUGCGAGCGUUAAUCGGAAUUACUGGGCGUAAAGCGCGCGUAGGCGGUCUGAUAAGCCGGUUGUGAAAGCCCCGGGCUCAACCUGGGAACGGCAUCCGGAACUGUCAGGCUAGAGUGCAGGAGAGGAAGGUAGAAUUCCCGGUGUAGCGGUGAAAUGCGUAGAGAUCGGGAGGAAUACCAGUGGCGAAGGCGGCCUUCUGGACUGACACUGACGCUGAGGUGCGAAAGCGUGGGUAGCAAACAGGAUUAGAUACCCGAGAGC
This 462-nucleotide ribosomal RNA is filed under the name Vreelandella stevensii. RNAcentral's name for it is "partial 16S ribosomal RNA". It matches the Rfam family "Bacterial small subunit ribosomal RNA", at positions 339 to 794 of the family's 1533-position model. The record is from RNAcentral. Lineage: Bacteria; Pseudomonadati; Pseudomonadota; Gammaproteobacteria; Oceanospirillales; Halomonadaceae.